Molecule: ribosomal RNA, 501 nt
Filed under: uncultured bacterium
Lineage: Bacteria
Description: partial 16S ribosomal RNA
Rfam family: Bacterial small subunit ribosomal RNA
Source: RNAcentral
AUUGAACGCUGGCGGCAUGCCUUACACAUGCAAGUCGAACGGCAGCACGGGUGCUUGCACCUGGUGGCGAGUGGCGAACGGGUGAGUAAUACAUCGGAACGUACCUUAUCGUGGGGGAUAACGCAGCGAAAGCUGUGCUAAUACCGCAUACGCCCUGAGGGGGAAAGCGGGGGAUCGCAAGACCCCGCGCGAUUAGAGCGGCCGAUGCCUGAUUAGCUUGUUGGUGGGGUAAAAGCCCACCAAGGCGACGAUCAGUAGCUGGUCUGAGAGGACGAUCAGCCAAACUGGGACUGAGACACGGCCCAGACUCCUACGGGAGGCAGCAGUGGGGAAUUUUGGACAAUGGGGGCAACCCUGAUCCAGCAAUGCCGCGUGAGUGAAGAAGGCCUUCGGGUUGUAAAGCUCUUUUGUCAGGGAAGAAACACCGGCUCUAACACAGUCCGGGAAUGACGGUACCUGAAGAAUAAGCACCGGCUAACUACGUGCCAGCCGCCGCCGUAA